UACGUAGGAUCCAAGCGUUGUCCGGAUUUACUGGGUGUAAAGGGUGCGCAGGCGGACUUGUUAGUCAGAGGUGAAAUCUCACGGCUCAACCGUGAAACUGCCUUUGAUACUGCGCGGCUAGAGUGCUGGAGGGGAGACUGGAAUUUACGGUGUAGCAGUGAAAUGCGUAGAUAUCGUAAGGAAGACCAGUGGCGAAGGCGAGUCUCUGGACAGCAACUGACGCUGAGGCACGAAGGCCAGGGGAGCAAACGGG
Molecule: ribosomal RNA, 253 nt
Filed under: uncultured bacterium
Lineage: Bacteria
Description: partial 16S ribosomal RNA
Rfam family: Bacterial small subunit ribosomal RNA
Source: RNAcentral